RNAcentral lists this unclassified non-coding RNA (202 nucleotides) under Hevea brasiliensis (rubber tree). The record is from RNAcentral. Lineage: Eukaryota; Viridiplantae; Streptophyta; Magnoliopsida; Malpighiales; Euphorbiaceae.
CGAGAAUAUGACUUGCAUUAAUUUCCGUACAGAAAAAACAAAUUUCAUUUAUACUCAUGACUCAAGUUGACUAAUUUUGAUUGACAGACUUGAAAGAAAAAAAUCCUUUGAAAUUUUUUGAGUCGUCUCUAAACUCUUUUCUUUGCCUCAUCUCGAACAAAUUCACUUUUAUUCCUUAUUCCGGUCCAAUUCUAUUGUUGAG